Molecule: long non-coding RNA, 150 nt
Organism: Dreissena polymorpha
Lineage: Eukaryota; Metazoa; Mollusca; Bivalvia; Myida; Dreissenidae
Exons: 5
Source: RefSeq, a predicted model, not a curated record
ACGAAAAAUGCGAGAAAACUCUGUGGCUAACAAAAGAAAUGUUGCACUACUUGUAUGUAAACCAAGGACACGAAAUGAAGAUCAGAUGAACAUUACUGCAGUCGAAGUUUUGGAACAUGAACGUCCUACAGCGUCUCAAGAUCAGAUGUA